RNAcentral lists this ribosomal RNA (520 nucleotides) under uncultured Archaeospora. RNAcentral's name for it is "SSU rRNA". It matches the Rfam family "Eukaryotic small subunit ribosomal RNA", at positions 569 to 1088 of the family's 1831-position model. Lineage: Eukaryota; Fungi; Glomeromycota; Glomeromycetes; Archaeosporales; Archaeosporaceae. The record is from RNAcentral.
AGCAGCCGCGGUAAUUCCAGCUCCAAUAGCGUAUAUUAAAGUUGUUGCAGUUAAAAAGCUCGUAGUUGAAUUUUGGAUUCUUCCAAUUGGUCCAUCUUUUAGAUGAGUACUGGUUGUGUGGGGUCUAUCCGCCUGGUGAUACGUAAUGUCCUUUAUUGGAUGUUGCGGGUAGUCAGGACCUUUACCUUGAAAAAAUUAGAGUGUUUAAAGCAGGCUUAUGCCGGAAUACAUUAGCAUGGAAUAAUAGAAUAGGACGAAGUUGUUUUAUUUUGUUGGUUUCUAGGACAACCGUAAUGAUUAAUAGGGAUAGUUGGGGGCAUUAGUAUUCAAUUGUCAGAGGUGAAAUUCUUGGAUUUAUUGAAGACUAACUACUGCGAAAGCAUUUGCCAAGGAUGUUUUUCAUUAAUCAAGAACGAAAGUUAGGGGAUCGAAGACGAUCAGAUACCGUCGUAGUCUUAACCAUAAACUAUGCCGACUAGGGAUCGGCGGAAUUGUUGUUUCCAUGACUCGCUCGGCACCU